Molecule: ribosomal RNA, 920 nt
Filed under: uncultured bacterium
Lineage: Bacteria
Description: bacterial SSU rRNA
Rfam family: Bacterial small subunit ribosomal RNA
Source: RNAcentral
ACGCUAGCUACAGGCUUAACACAUGCAAGUCGAGGGGAAACGGCAUUAAGUGCUUGCACUUUUUGGACGUCGACCGGCGCACGGGUGAGUAACGCGUAUCCAACCUUCCCAUGACUAAGGGAUAACCUGCCGAAAGGCAGACUAAUACCUUAUGGUCUUCACUGACGGCAUCAGAUGUGAAGUAAAGAUUUAUCGGUUAUGGAUGGGGAUGCGUCUGAUUAGUUAGUUGGCGGGGUAACGGCCCACCAAGGCAACGAUCAGUAGGGGUUCUGAGAGGAGGGUCCCCCACAUUGGAACUGAGACACGGUCCAAACUCCUACGGGAGGCAGCAGUGAGGAAUAUUGGUCAAUGGGCGAGAGCCUGAACCAGCCAAGUAGCGUGCAGGAUGACGGCCCUAUGGGUUGUAAACUGCUUUUGUAUGGGGAUAAAGUCAAUCACGUGUGAUUGUUUGCAGGUACCAUACGAAUAAGGACCGGCUAAUUCCGUGCCAGCAGCCGCGGUAAUACGGAAGGUCCGGGCGUUAUCCGGAUUUAUUGGGUUUAAAGGGAGCGUAGGCUGGAGAUUAAGUGUGUUGUGAAAUGUAGACGCUCAACGUCUGACUUGCAGCGCAUACUGGUUUCCUUGAGUACGCACAACGUUGGCGGAAUUCGUCGUGUAGCGGUGAAAUGCUUAGAUAUGACGAAGAACUCCGAUUGCGAAGGCAGCUGACGGGAGCGCAACUGACGCUGAAGCUCGAAGGUGCGGGUAUCGAACAGGAUUAGAUACCCUGGUAGUCCGCACAGUAAACGAUGGAUGCCCGCUGUUGGUACUUGGUAUCAGCGGCUAAGCGAAAGCAUUAAGCAUCCCACCUGGGGAGUACGCCGGCAACGGUGAAACUCAAAGGAAUUGACGGGGGCCCGCACAAGCGGAGGAACAUGUGG